RNAcentral lists this unclassified non-coding RNA (582 nucleotides) under Rhagoletis pomonella (apple maggot). RNAcentral's name for it is "external transcribed spacer". Lineage: Eukaryota; Metazoa; Arthropoda; Insecta; Diptera; Tephritidae. The record is from RNAcentral.
CCACAGUUAGUUUAAAUAGAAAUGAAUUCUGAGUUAAUCAGAUAUUCAUAUUUUCUAUGCUAACAUUUUGGUAUAUUAAAAAUUUUUUCAGCCCUAAUUUAUUAAAAGAAGAAUAGGAGCAAGACAAAAUUAUGCUUCUUUUCAUAAAAUCAUAUAUAUUUUUAUAUACAAAAAAUAUGAAAUUAUUAAUUUCAUAUCAUGAAUAAUGUGUACAUCGAUAUUGAUGUAUGCACAAAUGCAUUGAAAUAGAGUAAAAUGUAUUUUAAAAUGAUAAUAUUUGAAAAUAGGCCAAACAAAGAAGAAAUAUCGUUCUUACAUAAAAUAUUAAAAAAAUAUGUAUUAGAGAACGAAGAUUCUUUUUCAUAAUACGUAAGUAACAUGCGCAUGUGCAUUGCAAAUAUAAAUUAUAGUUAUUUUAUUAAUAAUAAUUGAUGAUAAUGCUAAAAAUGAAAACUAAUUUUGCAUAAUGCAGUUAAGUGUGCUGUUUUCGUAUUAUGAUAUUUUCAAAUAUAUAUAGAAAAUAUCAUAUUCUCAUAUAUAUAUAAUAAAUUUUAUUAUAUAUAUGUAAAAAAGAAUUAUAUU